RNAcentral lists this non-coding RNA (209 nucleotides) under chicken gut metagenome. Its description in RNAcentral is "Lysine riboswitch". It matches the Rfam family "Lysine riboswitch aptamer". From Rfam's summary of the family: Riboswitches are metabolite binding domains within certain messenger RNAs that serve as precision sensors for their corresponding targets. Allosteric rearrangement of mRNA structure is mediated by ligand binding, and this results in modulation of gene expression. The record is from RNAcentral.
AAGGUAGAGGUCGCGCAGUAGAUGAGUAGUCUGUCAGAUAUGGAUCGGCAUAGGAGAAGACAGGGGAAAGGCGAAGCGCCGAAAGCAGGGCUUACCGGUAAGGGGUCUGCUUGGGCAUAUGGUGAAAAACCAUAUGACUGUCAUCUGUGAUGAAUGGAAUCUGGGAUGGAGAAAUCGUGUUUCGUCCGAUGCAGAUGGAGGGCUACUUA